This is a long non-coding RNA of Penaeus chinensis, 435 nucleotides long. RefSeq lists it as uncharacterized. The transcript is spliced from 3 exons. NCBI's taxonomy places the organism in Eukaryota, Metazoa, Arthropoda, Malacostraca, Decapoda, Penaeidae. The record is from RefSeq and is a predicted model, not a curated record.
UCGAAUUUGGCGGUUCCACAACCACUGAUGGUGCGACGUUUGCCCGCCAGAUGGCAGACCCGUCAUGUAAACAACGCGUGGACUGGUCAGCUCCCUCCCAGCUCACUCGGAAAUUCUUCGGGCUUCUGACUAGCACUCAGUUUGCCGACUAUUUUCAACUCCACCGCCGUAUUAAAGGGAAAUUUUAAAAUCUGGCCUUAAAAUAGAAAGAUGAUUAUCCCUAUUCGCUGCUUUACCUGUGGAAAGGUCAUUGGAAACAAGUGGGAAAUUUAUUUGGGUUACUUGUCUGCUGAAUAUACAGAAGGAUUCAGUGACUGCAGUUAAAUUUAAGAAGACAUGAAAAGAAGAUUGAUAUGGAUGGCCUGAAACCAAGAUGUUCCUGUGAAAGCAAGGAGCAAAUCAGGAUGAAGAUUUUGUAAUAAAAUUUAUUAUUGA